GUUAUAAAAGUGAUUUUACUCAGACAAUUUAUUUGAGCAGCAGUCGAUGUGGCAGCUGCUUUCAUCAAACACAAUUAUUUAGCAUUUUGUAUAAGUUGCUGGCAUCCCUUUUCAUUGGCUCGGACUUUCACGGGCAGAUGCAGUAUCUUCCUCGACCUCGAUCGGCUCUUCAACAGUUUGUUCGCGGCAGCAGAUCUGAACUUGACUGUUUAACACGAUACCCAAGAGCUACCUGGGGUCUACAAACUUCACAUCCAGGAUCCAUCUGCCUCUGUGGAGAAAAGGAGAGAAGUGGUCCUGAGAUGCCUGAUUGAGUACAUGGGGGAGAGACAGGAAGACCUCAUCAGUGUCUACCAUAAUCGUGCUGAAACAGAGGUGCAUGCUGAGCUUUGCAGUUGCCCACUGAACAUUUACAUGUGCCAUCAUCCCGACACAACUGGUAUUAUCAUCGAAGGACAGCCCGUGGUCAGAGGUUUGCCAAACCUGUCAAAAGCAUGCUGCCUCCUGUUUGGACUUGCCUAUGCUCUCGACCUCAAGUAUCCAUCAAAACUGGUGUAUGGUUUUGAGAUAUAUCAGAGGCUUUUUGUUGGAUUGGACCCCAUGCGUCCUAAGCCAUCAUCCAAGUACGCAAAUCUCCUCAACAAGUUGUCUUAGAUGAUUUCUCAAUGGAAUCUGGCUGACUUUUUUUUCGCUGACUUUUUGGGACUUUGGCUUAUUCACCGUAUCCCCCAGAGUUAGAUAAGUCCAUUCAUACCCUUCUCAUCUCCAUGCGUGCCGUAACU
Molecule: non-coding RNA, 782 nt
Organism: Paramisgurnus dabryanus
Lineage: Eukaryota; Metazoa; Chordata; Actinopteri; Cypriniformes; Cobitidae
Source: RefSeq, a predicted model, not a curated record